Molecule: ribosomal RNA, 587 nt
Filed under: Polaromonas sp. StRD486
Lineage: Bacteria; Pseudomonadati; Pseudomonadota; Betaproteobacteria; Burkholderiales; Comamonadaceae
Description: bacterial SSU rRNA
Rfam family: Bacterial small subunit ribosomal RNA
Source: RNAcentral
ACGGGUGAGUAAUAUAUCGGAACGUGCCCAAUCGUGGGGGAUAACGUAUAGAAAUUUACGCUAAUACCGCAUACGAUCUAAGGAUGAAAGCGGGGGAUCGCAAGACCUCGCGCGAUUGGAGCGGCUGAUAUCAGAUUAGGUUGUUGGUGAGGUAAAAGCUCACCAAGCCGACGAUCUGUAGCUGGUUUGAGAGAACGACCAGCCACACUGGGACUGAGACACGGCCCAGACUCCUACGGGAGGCAGCAGUGGGGAAUUUUGGAUAAUGGGCGAAAGCCUGAUCCAGCAAUGCCGCGUGCAGGAAGAAGGCCUUCGGGUUGUAAACUGCUUUUGUACGGAACGAAACGGCUCUUUCUAAUAAAGAGGGCUAAUGACGGUACCGUAAGAAUAAGCACCGGCUAACUACGUGCCAGCAGCCGCGGUAAUACGUAGGGUGCGAGCGUUAAUCGGAAUUACUGGGCGUAAAGCGUGCGCAGGCGGUUAUGUAAGACAGUUGUGAAAUCCCCGGGCUCAACCUGGGAAUUGCAUCUGUGACUGCAUAGCUAGAGUACGGUAGAGGGGGAUGGAAUUCCGCGUGUAGCAGUGAA